This is a small nuclear RNA of Gorilla gorilla gorilla (western lowland gorilla), 95 nucleotides long. The record is from Ensembl. NCBI's taxonomy places the organism in Eukaryota, Metazoa, Chordata, Mammalia, Primates, Hominidae.
GUGCCCGCUUCGGCAGCACAUAUACUAAAACUGAAACGAUACAGAGAAGAUUAGCAUAGCCCCUGCGCAAGGAUGACACGAGAUAAUGAACUUCU